RNAcentral lists this ribosomal RNA (2175 nucleotides) under Triticum aestivum (bread wheat). RNAcentral's name for it is "partial small subunit ribosomal RNA". Lineage: Eukaryota; Viridiplantae; Streptophyta; Magnoliopsida; Poales; Poaceae. The record is from RNAcentral.
AUGCAAAAAGAUGAUCUUUGGACUGAGCUGAAGGCAAAUUUCACCCUACCGCCAGAGGAGUAUCCGGAGAAGCCAGUUAAAGAGCAAUUAAUCAAGUCUCAUGCUCUUAAGAAGAUGGCAGACCUAUUCAGGAGGUGGAAGAAUGAGCUGAAAACGUUUGUCGACAAAGAAGAGAUACCAGAAUUCAUCGGCCGGUAUGAGAAGAUCAGAGAUCACUGGCCCGCAUUUGUGGCCCACAAGACAUCGGAAAAGAGUAAGAAGAUGUCAGCGACAAACAAGAAGAAUGCUGCGAAGAAGAAGCUUCACCAUCGCACGGGGUCAGGUGGCUACCUCAAAGCCCGACCUAAGUGGGCCAAGGCUGAGAAUGAUCUGCUUGAAAAAGGGAUUGAACCACAGACAAUGAACUGGACAGACCGUUGCCGGACUUGGUUCUUCGGGGCUGGCGGAACCUUGGACCCUGUAUCAGGGAGGUGCGUUUGGAUGAACGAGCUUUUGAGAAUACCAGUCAAGAAGAUUCAGCAAUAUAUCGAUGCAGCGCAGGAAGGGACGUUCGUUCCAAACAGAGAGAACGACGAGCUCACAAUGGCCCUCGGGAAUCCUGAGCACCCUGGACGGACACGAGGCACACCAGGCUCCGUUCCGUGGAAGGCUGGUUUUCCGGACGCGGGCGGUUACAAAAGCCAGGAGAGGAGGAAAAAAGUGGAGCAGAUCCAAAUUCAGAAGCUGCACGAAAGGGUUCAAGCGUUAGAGGAACGAGACGGCAAUCGACAUGCCGAAACUGCCCCCGAAGCUACACCGCCAUCUCAGCGGAGAAGCAGCGUGGCUUCCACCGAGCUGCUUCAGCUGGAGCAUGCGGCUCCUGCUAGCUACCCCGUGGAUGCUAUCACGGAGUCUCAACACUGCCACCUUAUGGCGGAAUGGCAGAACUUCAAAGUCAAGGCGGCUGUUGGCUCUGUUUUACCUCCUGAACCCGGCGCAACCUACCACUGCCGGCCGAUUACAGAAGGAUAUGCUAGGGUGAUGGUGGAUGAAAUAACGGAGGGAUUUGAGGAGCUCCAGCUUGACCACCCUACCGGUGAAGGGGAGACUCGGCUGGGUUCUGCUCUGAAGACUCCAUGCCUAUGGCGGAAGGAGCUCAUCAAGCUUCCGAACUGGACGGCUCCGGCGAGUAAGGGCACUCCGCCUCCUCCUCCGGCGAGUGAUCAGGGCACUCAGCCUCCGUCUCCGGCGCGUGGCGGCACUCCGCCUCCUUCGCCGCCUACGCCGGCGCGCCAGAGCAGCCAGCCUCCUCCUUCUCCGCCUCGUCAGCAAGGGCGGAAGAGACCCGCCGCCGCUGCGGCUGCUCCGGCGCGUCGUAGUCCUUCUCCUCCGCCUCGUAAGCAAGGAAAGAAGACAGCCGCAGCCGCUCCGUCUGCUCUGCCGGUGUCUAGCAGUACAGCUGCCAGAGGCGGGACGCAAUACAGAUUCGGUCCUUCUCUGAAGACUCCAGAGAAGUUACCAUACGAGAGGACCGAGGAGGAAACCAGGAAGAUCGUGCGAGCCGAAGUGACAAACUUCUUUGAAGGGGUGAAAGCAAAGAAACAUCCACCUCCGGAGGAGAAGGUAGAUCCGGUGAAAGCAAAGCGCACUCUGGCUGCCCUGACAAAACCACCAAAGUCUCCGCCGAGAGGCAACUAUGAGCGCAUUCUUGCAAAGACAUAUGCCGAAGCGGAGCGGUCGGGAAGUACUGUCAGUGAUCAAAGGUUAAAAGAACGACGAGCUGGGAAAAAAAUUGCCCAGCUCGGCGAACAAGUGAACCAAUCGUGCCCCCCGCUCAAGGUGUCAAAAGACAUCGUCGCUAAUGAUCUGAGGAUGGUGGCCGGUUAUAGCAAUCUUGGAGAUUACCUGCCCGACGAUGUACAUUAUGAAAUCAUGGAGGUCGACGAACACAAAUACCAUUACGGGAAGCCUCUCGUCAAAGAUGAAAGAUCUCUAACAACGAUGAUGCGAAGACUACAUGAUUGGUACAUGAAAACCUGCAGAGAGUCUGAUGGGAUGAAUACUUUGACGCUGAGAGUUAAACCGGAGCAUGACCUCGUUGGAAUUGAUCUGCUGAAUGUUCCAUUUGAGGAUUUCUUCCAGUUUUACAAUCAAAAGGCCCUCGAUAAAACAACGAUCACUUGCUACUGUCUGUAA